Molecule: long non-coding RNA, 281 nt
Organism: Anolis carolinensis (green anole)
Lineage: Eukaryota; Metazoa; Chordata; Lepidosauria; Squamata; Anolidae
Rfam family: Six3os1 conserved region 5
Source: Rfam
UGCGAUUCAUUAGAAGUAACGAGUUGACAUAAGGUAAACCGGCAUUGAGGGGGCUUUCUUCGGGGGUCCGGCCGAAGCUCCAUUCACAAUGCCUAACCAGGCGUGCAAGGGCUCUGAUUGGGCAGCUUUCUUCCAACGGAGGAGGGGGGGGGGCUUUGGCAGGAUGUCCCCCUAAUGAGGGUCGCCAUCAGCCAUUGAUAAGAUAUUCUCCAUUCCCCCCUCCCCGCUUUACAAAAUGGAAAGAAAGAAAAGCCCCCCUUGCACCAGGAAUUGGGGAUCGG